AAUAACUGAACAUUCAUUUUACACACAUCUUGCAUCGGUCGUAAUAAACGUUUUUCCCUAACGCGCUGUCGCCUGUUGGCACGCCGCCAACUGCUGUGCUGCCGGCGUAGAGCUCAUCAAAGCACCACCUCCUUGCUGUAGCAGUGGGCGUCACCACAGUAUUGUUCAGGAAGCUCGUGAUAAUGGUACCUACGGUCCCUUGAGGAACGCUCAAUCAAAAAAUGACAUGAUGAACUUCUUUGGAAUUAAGUGGACUAAGGACAGCUACAUUUGUAUUAUGAGCAUCGCUCAUGCAAGACAGCAGGCCAGGAUGCAGGGACACACAGCUGCAGGGGAUGAGCUGGAGAACCUGCAGCGCAUUCUCCAAGAGACGACGGAAGCCAACGGAGGCCCGCAAAACUUUCCAUCCCAUAAUCGUGAAUGGAGAGCUGGGCGGGGAAGACGCGGUAUUCGUCGAGGCCCAGGAGGUGGUAUCGGCGCCACCAGACCAAGCAUUCCUGCUGUGGCAGGCCGCCUUUUGGAUUUUUAAUAUCAAAACUCCUA
Molecule: long non-coding RNA, 543 nt
Organism: Amphibalanus amphitrite
Lineage: Eukaryota; Metazoa; Arthropoda; Thecostraca; Balanomorpha; Balanidae
Exons: 3
Source: RefSeq, a predicted model, not a curated record